CCUACGGGUGGCAGCAGUGAGGAAUAUUGGUCAAUGGGCGCGAGCCUGAACCAGCCAAGUCGCGUGAGGGAUGACGGUCCUACGGAUUGUAAACCUCUUUUGCCGGGGAGCAAGCGUGCGUUUGUGAACGCGCGUCGAGAGUACCCGGAGAAAAAGCAUCGGCUAACUCCGUGCAAGCAGCCGCGGUAAUCCGGAGGAUGCGAGCGUUAUCCGGAUUUAUUGGGGUAAAAGGGUGCGUAGGCGGGAUGCCAAGUCAGCGGUAAAAAUGCGGUGCUCAACGCCGUCGAGCCGUUGAAACUGUUUGUCUUGAGUACUGGAGAGGCAGACGGAAUUCCUAGUGUAGCGGUGAAAUGCGUAGAUAUUAGGAGGAACACCAGUGGCGAAGGCGGUCUGCUGGACAGCAACUGACGCUGAGGCGCGAAAGCGUGGGGAGCAAACAGGAUUAGAUACCCUGGUAGUC
This 460-nucleotide ribosomal RNA is filed under the name uncultured bacterium. Its description in RNAcentral is "partial 16S ribosomal RNA". It matches the Rfam family "Bacterial small subunit ribosomal RNA", at positions 338 to 795 of the family's 1533-position model. The record is from RNAcentral.